RNAcentral lists this ribosomal RNA (672 nucleotides) under Columnea spathulata. RNAcentral's name for it is "eukaryotic LSU rRNA". Lineage: Eukaryota; Viridiplantae; Streptophyta; Magnoliopsida; Lamiales; Gesneriaceae. The record is from RNAcentral.
UCGAUACCUGCAAAGCAAACCCGCGAACACGUUCUAAACACUAUUGGGGUCGCGCCGUUGGAUGCCCCGGUGCAUCCCACGUCGCGCUCCCUUCCCGACGGCGCACCCUAGCGUGGGUCGUUCGGGCCAACGAACAUUUCGGCGCGGCAUGCGCCAAGGAAAACCAUCACGAGAAUGCUUGCUCUCGCGAGGCAUCGUUCGCGGUGCAUUGCGGGCGGCUUGUGCCUCUUGAAUCACUAAAUGACUCUCGGCAAYGGAUAUCUCGGCUCUCGCAUCGAUGAAGAACGUAGCGAAAUGCGAUACUUGGUGUGAAUUGCAGAAUCCCGUGAACCAUCGAGUCUUUGAACGCAAGUUGCGCCCGAAGCCAUUAGGUCGAGGGCACGCCUGCCUGGGCGUCACGCAUCGCGUCGCCCCCUCCCCCCAAUUUCCCUUGCGAGGGCGGGUGGAUCCGAGGGGACGGACAUUGGCCUCCCGUGCUCUCACYGCGCGGCUGGCUUAAAUGUGAUUCCUCGUCGACGGAUGUCACGACUAGUGGUGGUUGAAUCAAUCGCGCGAUGUCGUGCGUGACCCCGUUCGCUCGCGGACAUCAUACUGACCCAACGGCGCCGAGCGCUUUCGACCGCGACCCCAGGUCAGACGGGAUCACCCGCUGAAUUUAAGCAUAUCAAUAAG